Molecule: long non-coding RNA, 1385 nt
Organism: Brassica oleracea var. oleracea
Lineage: Eukaryota; Viridiplantae; Streptophyta; Magnoliopsida; Brassicales; Brassicaceae
Exons: 3
Source: RefSeq, a predicted model, not a curated record
UCCAUCCGAGGAUGCUUUAUACGCCGUCUCUCGGUUGUUAAUAACCGGUCCGGUCCGGUCCGGUAUUGUGAAUUAAGAAAAACAAAUGAGUAAACCAAGAGUUUCUUCUUCUUCUUCUUCUUCUUCUAUCACACAAACAAUCUGUAGAUCUUCUCUCUCAGAUUAUGGCAUGAUUCGAAUUAGGAGCGGCUCUUUUCAAACUGAAUGAAGAGUGAUUCCCACCAAUUCAAACGCUCAAUCUAAAGGUCAGAGCUCUGUGAAUUGUUUGAGUUAGUAAUGGAUAUUUCUAUUGCGGGACAGAUGAUGAUGAUGCCUUCUUCUUCUCUCCCACUAGACUGCUUUGCUUGCUUAUUCCAACACUGACGUGACUGCUUUCUUUUUCCCAUUCCCGUUGCCUACAACCCUGAUAAAGGUUCUCCUUCCCACUUCAAUAACCCCUCAUUCUAUUCUCACCACCAAUCUUACCUACAUUACAGAGGAGGGUGAUGAUCAUCAUUCCUCCACCUCUCCUUUUCCUCUCUUCUCUUUAGCGCCAACAUUACCUGCUCUCAACGACAUGAAAGCUUUUCUCUCUCUCUCAAACCUGUCAGUCAUGAAGGUAGUAACUAUCCCCCUUGUUUUUACCCUUCUUCCCUUCCAAACUAUUAUUUAUAUUCUCUUUCAGGUGGAUAAAGAUUUCGUAAACAAAUGUAAAUUUGUGGUUGCCACUGGGAUUUUCGAUGCAUAUGAUCAACCCCACCAGCCAUCUAACAUUAGCCAAGAACCUCUUCUGUUUCCUUCUGGUGGUUGACGAGCUCUCUCUCCAUUUCUUAACAUCAAACACUACUUUGACUGUGAGCCAAGAUGUUCAUAGGAGGCCAAUGGGUCGGCAUUUGGCGUCUUAUUCUACUCAAAACUCCUCCUUAUGAUGAACCUAGGCUAGGAGGAACGGCAAAGUCCCCAAAAUCUUAAUUACUACUGUUAUUGAGGGAGCGGUGAUAAUAAGAGAACACACUGCAAUGAACAAUCUCUUCAGCUGCCUGUGGUUCAACGAGGUACACCUGCUAACACCCAGGGACCAGCUUAGCUUUGGGUACGUAGUGGACAGACUAAAAUGAGCCUUCAAGGUGUUCAUGUUUCACAACUGUGAUGUGAAUACAACUCUCUCUUUCAACUGCACCCUCACAUCCGACAACAUUCCUCUAAGAUCGAGUGGGUCAAGAGUGUCAAGGAACUCAAAGGGAAAGGAGAGUGUUUGAAGGAGAGCCGAGGCGGCUUUGGGCUCUGGAUUCCGUUGAGCUGCCACAAGUUGUAAGAACUUCCAAAGCUGGUUGAGGCAAAAGCGCGACUGGUCUCUCUCUCUCUCUCUUUUCUCUUUGUAUAGCUCACUUCUUUGUAUAGAUUCG